This 104-nucleotide small nuclear RNA is filed under the name Sciurus vulgaris (Eurasian red squirrel). The record is from RNAcentral. Lineage: Eukaryota; Metazoa; Chordata; Mammalia; Rodentia; Sciuridae.
GUGCUCACUUUGGCAGCACAUAUCCUAAAACAAUACAAAACAGAAGAUUAGGAUGGCCCUUGCACAAGGAUGACACGCAAAUUCAUGAAGCGUUCCAUGUUUUU